GACGAAGGGGGCUAGCGUUGUUCGGAAUUACUGGGCGUAAAGCGAGUGUAGGCGGUUGCCGUAGUCAGGUGUGAAAGCCUUGAGCUCAACUCAAGAAAUGCACUUGAUACUGGGUGACUAGAGGACCGGAGAGGAUAGUGGAAUUCCCAGUGUAGUGGUGAAAUACGUAGAGAUUGGGAAGAACACCAGUGGCGAAGGCGGCUAUCUGGACGGUUACUGACGCUAAGACUCGAAAGCGUGGGGAGCAAACAGGAUUAGAAACCCCGGUAGU
This 271-nucleotide ribosomal RNA is filed under the name uncultured bacterium. RNAcentral describes it as "partial 16S ribosomal RNA". It matches the Rfam family "Bacterial small subunit ribosomal RNA", at positions 524 to 794 of the family's 1533-position model. The record is from RNAcentral.